GACGAACGCUGGCGGCGUGCUUAACACAUGCAAGUCGAACGGAAAGGCCCUGCUUGCAGGGUACUCGAGUGGCGAACGGGUGAGUAACACGUGGGUGAUCUGCCCUGCACUUCGGGAUAAGCUUGGGAAACUGGGUCUAAUACCGGAUAGGAGCCAUCUUUAGUGUGGUGGUUGGAAAGUUUUUUCGGUGUAGGAUGAGCUCGCGGCCUAUCAGCUUGUUGGUGGGGUAAUGGCCUACCAAGGCGGCGACGGGUAGCCGGCCUGAGAGGGUGUACGGCCACAUUGGGACUGAGAUACGGCCCAGACUCCUACGGGAGGCAGCAGUGGGGAAUAUUGCACAAUGGGCGCGAGCCUGAUGCAGCGACGCCGCGUGGGGGAUGAAGGCCUUCGGGUUGUAAACUCCUUUCGCUAGGGACGAAGCUUUUUGUGACGGUACCUAGAUAAGAAGCACCGGCUAACUACGUG
RNAcentral lists this ribosomal RNA (465 nucleotides) under uncultured bacterium. Its description in RNAcentral is "partial 16S ribosomal RNA". It matches the Rfam family "Bacterial small subunit ribosomal RNA", at positions 28 to 507 of the family's 1533-position model. The record is from RNAcentral.